AUACGGAGGGUCCGAGCGUUAUCCGGAAUUAUUGGGUUUAAAGGGUCCGUAGGCGGGCGAUUAAGUCAGUGGUGAAAGUCUGCAUCUCAACUGUAGAAUUGCCUUUGAUACUGAUCGUCUUGAGUUAUAGUGAAGUUGCCGGAAUAUGUAGUGUAGCGGUGAAAUGCAUAGAUAUUACAUAGAACACCGAUUGCGAAGGCAGGUGACUAACUGUAUACUGACGCUGAUGGACGAAAGCGUGGGGAGCGAACAGGAUUAGAAACCCUAGUAGUCA
RNAcentral lists this ribosomal RNA (274 nucleotides) under uncultured bacterium. RNAcentral describes it as "partial 16S ribosomal RNA". It matches the Rfam family "Bacterial small subunit ribosomal RNA", at positions 523 to 796 of the family's 1533-position model. The record is from RNAcentral.